RNAcentral lists this unclassified non-coding RNA (342 nucleotides) under soil metagenome. RNAcentral's name for it is "partial contains 5.8S ribosomal RNA, internal transcribed spacer 2, and large subunit ribosomal RNA". The stretch from base 1 to 120 matches the Rfam family "5.8S ribosomal RNA", at positions 35 to 154 of the family's 154-position model. The record is from RNAcentral.
GAUGAAGAACGUAGCGAAAUGCGAUAAGUAAUGUGAAUUGCAGAAUUCAGUGAAUCAUCGAAUCUUUGAACGCACAUUGCGCCCCCUGGAAUUCCGGGGGGCAUGCCUGUUCGAGCGUCAUUUCAACCAUCAAGCCCCCAGGGGCUUGUGCUGGGGCCCUGCGGCUGCCCGCAGGCCCUGAAAACCAGUGGCGGGCUCGCUAGUCACACCGAGCGCAGUAGCACAUCUCGCUCAGGGCGUGCGGCGGGCUCCUGCCGUGAAACCCCCCACUGUAACCCCAAAGGUUGACCUCGGAUCAGGUAGGAAUACCCGCUGAACUUAAGCAUAUCAAUAAGCGGAGGA